GGCGGCGUGCCUAAUACAUGCAAGUAGAACGCUGAAGGAGGAGCUUGCUUCUCUGGAUGAGCUGCGAACGGGUGAGUAACGCGUAGGUAACCUGCCUGGUAGCGGGGGAUAACUAUUGGAAACGAUAGCUAAUACCGCAUAAGAGUAGAUGUUGCAUGACAUUUGCUUAAAAGGUGCAAUUGCAUCACUACCAGAUGGACCUGCGUUGUAUUAGCUAGUUGGUGAGGUAACGGCUCACCAAGGCGACGAUACAUAGCCGACCUGAGAGGGUGAUCGGCCACACUGGGACUGAGACACGGCCCAGACUCCUACGGGAGGCAGCAGUAGGGAAUCUUCGGCAAUGGACGGAAGUCUGACCGAGCAACGCCGCGUGAGUGAAGAAGGUUUUCGGAUCGUAAAGCUCUGUUGUAAGAGAAGAACGAGUGUGAGAGUGGAAAGUUCACAACUGGGACGGAU
This 456-nucleotide ribosomal RNA is filed under the name Streptococcus mitis. Its description in RNAcentral is "bacterial SSU rRNA". It matches the Rfam family "Bacterial small subunit ribosomal RNA", at positions 38 to 477 of the family's 1533-position model. Lineage: Bacteria; Bacillati; Bacillota; Bacilli; Lactobacillales; Streptococcaceae. The record is from RNAcentral.